AAUAUUUUUAGCAGGUUCUUCACAAUGCUCAGUACGAGAGAAACCGCAGGUUCAGACAUUUGGUGUAUGUGCUUGGCUGAGGAGCCAAUGGGGCAAAGCUACCAUCUGUGGGAUUAUGACUGAACGCCUCUAAGUCAGAAUCCCCCCUAAACGUAAUGAUACCGCAGCGCCGUGGAGCCUCGGUUGGCCCUGGAUAGCCGGCCACCCCCCACCUGGGGGGCAGGCCCCGGUGUGGAGAGCUGUUCAUGGCAGGACCGGAGAGCAGUUGGAACGGAGCCGCCUCUCACCCGCAGCGCACCGCAUGUUCGUGGGGAAUCCGGUACUAAAUCAUUUGUAGACGACCUGAUUCUGGGUCAGGGUUUCAUACGUAGCAGAGCAGCUACCUCGCUGCGAUCUAUUGAAAGUCAGCCCUAAAAAUUU
This is a ribosomal RNA of Alligator mississippiensis (American alligator), 420 nucleotides long. It matches the Rfam family "Eukaryotic large subunit ribosomal RNA", at positions 3005 to 3399 of the family's 3401-position model. NCBI's taxonomy places the organism in Eukaryota, Metazoa, Chordata, Crocodylia, Alligatoridae. The record is from Rfam.